Molecule: long non-coding RNA, 463 nt
Organism: Nicotiana tabacum (common tobacco)
Lineage: Eukaryota; Viridiplantae; Streptophyta; Magnoliopsida; Solanales; Solanaceae
Source: RefSeq, a predicted model, not a curated record
UGCAUUCUACAAAAUUCGUCAUAAUAGGGAUUAAAUCUACUUAAUAUCUCAAAACCUAGCCAUCCAUCUCUCGAAAGCCUUAAAACGCUCGUUAUUUUCUCUGGAUAAAUUGACAAUUUUUUCUCUAAUUCCGCUCGAAUCUUUCUCAAUUUCUGGUUUUUGUCGCUUAAAGUGAUGAUUUACUCUAUUCCAUUUGGAUUUAUGUUUCUAAUCACUGAUUUUCAUCGUCAAACUGUUUGCUUUAUGUACGUCGUGAUAUAAAUAUCACAAUUUCAACUCUGCAAGUGUAGUAUCUUGGCAUAAAGUAUUACUGUAUUUGAUGCAUAAGUUGUGUUCAAUUGUUAGUUUAAGAUAAAUGUAAGAUCUGUUUCUUUAUUCCACAAUUUAUUAUAUCUGUUGUUGCAGAAGAGCCAUUUAAUGAGACAAAUAAAUAAGCUAACACUGUCUGUUUCUUCCGUUUUAA